CCUGCAACAUUUGCACUAGGUUAAAUGUCAAUCGUAUUGAUUGUUUAACCCUAGAAUGAUUCUUAAUCAUUAAUCAACCAUCCGAUCGGAUUGUGAACUCUAAUGUGUGUGACCUCAUAGGUCUGAACCUAAGUCGGUAGUACAGAAAUAAAUUUUUGUACCAAUCAAAGUGACCAUCAAGCAAUAGUACCCGACGGUCGGAUAGGUCGAAUGUGUAGAACAACAUCCUU
This 230-nucleotide long non-coding RNA is filed under the name Elaeis guineensis (African oil palm). RNAcentral describes it as "long non-coding RNA (EGUI_LNC065415)". Lineage: Eukaryota; Viridiplantae; Streptophyta; Magnoliopsida; Arecales; Arecaceae. The record is from RNAcentral.